GGAUGUGAGGGUGAUCUGGCUGUGACAUCUGUCACCCCAUUGAUUGCCAGGGUUGAAUCAACUGAUCUGGCUGGCUAGAUAGGUGUCCCUUUCCUCCCUCACUGCUCUAUGUGCAGCCCACCCAAAGGUGCACGCUUGGUGGAAAAGGAUGACCAUCCCAGAUAGAAGGAGUGUCGCGUUCUUCAGUCAAGAGUAUACAAUAGCUGCACUCUUCUGCUAGAACCUCCAAAAAAAGCUCAAUGUCCAUUUGUAGGAGAACAUAGGGUAGUCAAGCUUCCAAGACUCCAGACAUAUCCAAGUAAGGUGCUGCAUAUAGCAGUUUGCUCCGUCAAUU
Molecule: non-coding RNA, 334 nt
Organism: Podarcis lilfordi (Lilford's wall lizard)
Lineage: Eukaryota; Metazoa; Chordata; Lepidosauria; Squamata; Lacertidae
Source: the annotation of a GenBank genome assembly